This 497-nucleotide ribosomal RNA is filed under the name uncultured bacterium. RNAcentral describes it as "bacterial SSU rRNA". It matches the Rfam family "Bacterial small subunit ribosomal RNA", at positions 899 to 1397 of the family's 1533-position model. The record is from RNAcentral.
ACUCAAAUGAAUAGACGGGGACCCGCACAAGCGGUGGAGCAUGUGGUUUAAUUCGAAGCAACGCGAAGAACCUUACCAGGUCUUGACAUGCGGGUGUUAUUCUUAGAGAUAAGAAGUUCCUUCGGGACACCCGACACAGGUGGUGCAUGGUUGUCGUCAGCUCGUGUCGUGAGAUGUUGGGUUAAGUCCCGCAACGAGCGCAACCCUUAUGUUUAGUUGCCAUCAUUCAGUUGGGCACUCUAGACAGACUGCCGGUGAUAAACCGGAGGAAGGUGGGGAUGACGUCAAAUCAUCAUGCCCCUUAUGACCUGGGCUACACACGUGCUACAAUGGCAAGUACAACGAGCAGCGAGCCGGCGACGGUAAGCGAAUCUCUUAAAACUUGUCCCAGUUCGGAUUGUAGGCUGCAACUCGCCUACAUGAAGUCGGAAUCGCUAGUAAUCGCGGAUCAGCACGCCGCGGUGAAUACGUUCCCGGGUCUUGCACACACCGCCCGU